This 254-nucleotide ribosomal RNA is filed under the name uncultured bacterium. RNAcentral's name for it is "partial 16S ribosomal RNA". It matches the Rfam family "Bacterial small subunit ribosomal RNA", at positions 524 to 776 of the family's 1533-position model. The record is from RNAcentral.
UACGUAGGGGGCUAGCGUUGUCCGGAUUUAUUGGGCGUAAAGAGCGUGUAGGCGGCCAUGUAGGUCCGGUGUGAAAACUCGAGGCUUAACCUCGAGAUGUCAUCGGAAACCAUUUGGCUAGAGUCCGGAAGAGGAGAGUGGAAUUCCUGGUGUAGCGGUGAAAUGCGCAGAUAUCAGGAAGAACACCAAUGGCGAAAGCAGCUCUCUGGGACGGUACUGACGCUGAGACGCGAAAGCGUGGGGGAGCGAACAGG